RNAcentral lists this unclassified non-coding RNA (375 nucleotides) under soil metagenome. RNAcentral's name for it is "partial contains 5.8S ribosomal RNA, internal transcribed spacer 2, and large subunit ribosomal RNA". The stretch from base 1 to 120 matches the Rfam family "5.8S ribosomal RNA", at positions 35 to 154 of the family's 154-position model. The record is from RNAcentral.
GAUGAAGAACGUAGCGAAAUGCGAUAAGUAAUGUGAAUUGCAGAAUUCAGUGAAUCAUCGAAUCUUUGAACGCACAUUGCGCCCGCCAGUAUUCUGGCGGGCAUGCCUGUUCGAGCGUCAUUUCAACCCUCAAGACCCCUUCGGGGGACUUGGUGUUGGGGACCGGCACAGGGGCCUGCCUGCUUGUCUUGCAGCGCCCUCGCCGCCCCCGAAAUGAAUUGGCGGCCUCGUCGCGGCCUCCCCUGCGUAGUAGCACAACCGCGCAACGGGAACGUGACGGCGGCCACUGCCGUAAAACAACCCCAAUUUUAUUAGAGUUGACCUCGAAUCAGGUAGGAAUACCCGCUGAACUUAAGCAUAUCAAUAAGCGGAGGA